AGGGUUUGAUCAUGGCUCAGAACGUACGCUGGCGGCACGCCUAACACAUGCAAGUCGAACGAAGUAGCAAUACUUAGUGGCAGACGGGUGAGUAACAUGUAGGUAUCUACCCUUUGGCCUGGAAUAACACGAGGAAACUUGUGCUAAUACCGGAUAAGUCUUUACGGAGAAAGCUUUAUGCACCAUUGGAUGAGCCUGCACUUGAUUAGUUUGUUGGUGGGGUAAUGGCCUACCAAGACUUUGAUCAAUAGCUGAUUUGAGAGGAUGAUCAGCCACAUUGGGACUGAGACACGGCCCAAACUCCUACGGGAGGCAGCAGUGGGGAAUCUUGCACAAUGGAGGAAACUCUGAUGCAGCGAUGCCGCGUGAGUGAAGAAGGCCCUUGGGUUGUAAAGCUCUUUCGUCGGGGAAGAAAAUGACUGUACCCGAAUAAGAAGGUCCGGCUAACUUCGUGCCAGCAGCCGCGGUAAUACGAAGGGACCUAGCGUAGUUCGGAAUUACUGGGCUUAAAGAGUUCGUAGGUGGUUGAAAUAGUUGGUGGUGAAAUCCCAGAGCUUAACUCUGGAACUGCCAUCAAAACUUUUCAGCUAGAGUUUGAUAGAGGAAAGCAGAAUUUCUAGUGUAGAGGUGAAAUUCGUAGAUAUUAGAAAGAAUACCAAUUGCGAAGGCAGCUUUCUGGAUCAUUACUGACACUGAGGAACGAAAGCAUGGGUAGCGAAGAGGAUUAGAUACCCUCGUAGUCCAUGCCGUAAACGAUGUGUGUUAGACGUUGGAAAUUUAUUUUCAGUGUCGCAGCGAAAGCGAUAAACACACCGCCUGGGGAGUACGACCGCAAGGUUAAAACUCAAAUGAAUUGACGGGGACCCGCACAAGUAGUGGAGCAUGUGGUUUAAUUCGAAGAUACGCGCAGAACCUUACCAACACUUGACAUGUUCGUCGCGACUCUAAGAGAUUAGAGUUUUCGGUUCGGCCGGACGAAACACAGGUGCUGCAUGGCUGUCGUCAGCUCGUGUCGUGAGAUGUUGGGUUAAGUCCCGCAACGAGCGCAACCCUCACUUUUAGUUGCCAUCAUUAAGUUGGGCACUCUGAAAGAACUGCCAGUGAUAAGCUGGAGGAAGGUGGGGAUGACGUCAAGUCCUCAUGGCCCUUACGUGUUGGGCUACACACGUGCUACAAUGGUAUCUACAACAGGAAGCAAGACGGCGACGUUAAGCAAAUCCUUAAAAGAUACCUCAGUUCGGAUUGCACUCUGCAACUCGAGUGCAUGAAGCUGGAAUUACUAGUAAUCGUGGAUCAGCGUGCCACGGUGAAUGCGUUCCCGGGUCUUGUACACACCGCCCGUCACACCAUGGGAGUUGGUUCUACCUUAAGGCAAGGUUUCAAACCCUUGACCACGGUAUAGUCAGCGACUGGGGUGAAGUCGUAACAAGGUAGCCGUA
Molecule: ribosomal RNA, 1439 nt
Filed under: uncultured bacterium
Lineage: Bacteria
Description: bacterial SSU rRNA
Rfam family: Bacterial small subunit ribosomal RNA
Source: RNAcentral